RNAcentral lists this long non-coding RNA (873 nucleotides) under Megachile rotundata (alfalfa leafcutting bee). RNAcentral's name for it is "uncharacterized LOC105661772, transcript variant X5". Lineage: Eukaryota; Metazoa; Arthropoda; Insecta; Hymenoptera; Megachilidae. The record is from RNAcentral.
CGAUACGGUUCUUAUCGAACAGGUAGAUGUCGUUGGAAACAAACAUGGCUGCCUUUCAUAGUUUAACAAAUGAAUGUUAAUUUUUUGGCAAAGAAAAUCAUUUUACAAAUAAAUAACGAGGGAAAAACAUUGUAUAUGGAAAAAAAAUUUUAGUGCUUCAAGAUUUUUUUAAAACUUGCUUGCAUUUUAACCUGACGAUCGAUUUAAAUUCCGUAUAAAUUCCCGCGCUGAGCGGCGCGAAAAGAAGAGUCAAUUGAAGAUACAAAAUGAGUAGGUGAAAGGGAGGAAUAAAAAACAAUUGAGACACACAUAAGCGAGCAGGUGGAAGAUAAAAUAAAUCACAACCAUAAGUACAAUGUCCAUCCAGAAGUUGGUCUCAUCAAAGUCGUAACGCUGUAAAACUUCCAAGCCUUCGGUGAUGCACGGCAGUCCCGGAUCAAUUGUUUUACAAGCUGUAAAUAUUAAUUACUUACACUUAUUCUUGUAUGCAGUUUUGUUACUUACAUAUGUUGUGAACAUCGUUCCACUGAAGAAUGGGUCAAAAUAAGUUUACGAGUACCCGAGCUUGACGAAGGGUCCCAUGGUGAUCAUGAGAACGUAAUCGAACGGUACCAAGUAUGCCAUGGCUAGUGUAAUUAAAGAGAAGGUUUACCACAUGCGGUUGAUACGUUUAUAGUGAAUAGAAGUACAAGCAACGACAGUCCAAAUGCCUCCACCGUUUCUCGCAGUCCAGCUAACCAAUAAAUUAUCGUGGCGAACAACAAUGGCUCCACUAUCAGUCCAGGGAAAGCAAUCGAGCCACAUAAUAGAGAUGCACCGAGUACAUCCCAGCUCGGUACUCUCUUCGAAGAAGCGGCAGUUCUUGCGGUAUCA